Scophthalmus maximus (turbot) is the source of this 749-nucleotide long non-coding RNA. RefSeq lists it as uncharacterized. The record is from RefSeq and is a predicted model, not a curated record. NCBI's taxonomy places the organism in Eukaryota, Metazoa, Chordata, Actinopteri, Pleuronectiformes, Scophthalmidae. The transcript has 3 exons.
CAAAGAAAUGUAUUGUUGAAUAGGAAGUGGGAUGUCUUUUAAUUCUACGCAUGCUCUGCGAGUGAAUGAAAAUAGUUUGCUGUUUUUUUUGGUCUUUUGGGUUGAAACUGCUUAAAUUAACUCAGCGUUUACACAAUUAAAUGCGAUCACAUGCAAGACUAAACUAAAGUUGUUGACAUUCACAUUGGAGCUGAUGAACAGCUGCACCACAGAUCAGCUGAUUCAUAGUGAGGAUGGAGACAAAGACGGGACAGGAAACAGUAGUGCAGACCGAGCCUCUGUGUGGGUGACAAACUGCUGCUCUGCCUCUCUGACACUCAGUGAACAGAGAAGUUGCAGAGAGGGGCGAGUAUCUUCAAGGAACAGUAGAAGACCCAAAACUGCAGUGAGACAGAAAAGAUCAGAGUCUGGUGUAAGGAAGAUUAUUAGAGCCAGACAUGAGGGAAAUUCCUUUUGCAUUUCGAGAAUAAAGUAAAAAUGUUGACUCCUCUCAUCCAUCAAAUCCAGUCAGAGGAGCAACUGGAUUUUUUUUUUUAAAUCCUGUCUAUUCAGACUAAUAUGAUAACAGUCAGUUUUGAAUCCCAAUUACAACCGUGAUUUAGAACAAGUUCUCCAGUCGUCUCUCAGAACUCAGUUUUUAACAGACACUAUGUAUGUGAUGUGCUUUUACUGUCAAUCAUUGAUGAUCUGAGCUGCUAAAUGAUUAAACAGGAAACUGAAUGCACUCCCAAUUGAUCGAUAUUAUUGAU